CAUGCAGUCGAGCGGUAACAUUCCUAGCUUGCUAGGAGAUGACGAGCGGCGGACGGGUGAGUAAUGCUUGGGAACAUGCCUUUAGGAGGGGGACAACAGUUGGAAACGACUGCUAAUACCGCAUAACCUCUGAGGAGCAAAGCGGGGGACCUUCGGGCCUCGCGCCUAGAGAUUGGCCCAAGUGAGAUUAGCUAGUUGGUAAGGUAACGGCUUACCAAGGCGACGAUCUCUAGCUGGUUUGAGAGGAUGAUCAGCCACACUGGGACUGAGACACGGCCCAGACACCUACGGGAGGCAGCAGUGGGGAAUAUUGCACAAUGGGGGGAACCCUGAUGCAGCCAUGCCGCGUGUGUGAAGAAGGCCUUCGGGUUGUAAAGCACUUUCAGUUGUGAGGAAAGGUGUCAGGUUAAUAACCUUGCACUGUGACGUUAGCAACAGAAGAAGCACCGGCUAACUCCGUGCCAGCAGCCGCGGUAAUACGGAGGGUGCGAGCGUCAAUCGGAAUUACUGGGCGUAAAGCGUGCGUAGGCGGAUUAUUAAGCAAGAUGUGAAAGCCCAGGGCUCAACCUUGGAACUGCAUUUUGAACUGAUAGUCUAGAGUACUGUAGAGGGUGGUGGAAUUUCCAGUGUAGCGGUGAAAUGCGUAGAGAUUGGAAGGAACAUCAGUGGCGAAGGCGGCCACCUGGACAGAUACUGACGCUGAGGCACGAAAGCGUGGGGAGCGAACAGGAUUAGAUACCCUGGUAGUCCACGCCGUAAACGAUGUCAACUAGCUGUUUGUGGGCUUGACCUGUGAGUAGCGUAGCUAACGCGCUAAGUUGACCGCCUGGGGAGUACGGCCGCAAG
RNAcentral lists this ribosomal RNA (846 nucleotides) under uncultured bacterium. RNAcentral's name for it is "bacterial SSU rRNA". It matches the Rfam family "Bacterial small subunit ribosomal RNA", at positions 54 to 892 of the family's 1533-position model. The record is from RNAcentral.